RNAcentral lists this ribosomal RNA (510 nucleotides) under uncultured bacterium. RNAcentral describes it as "partial 16S ribosomal RNA". It matches the Rfam family "Bacterial small subunit ribosomal RNA", at positions 28 to 507 of the family's 1533-position model. The record is from RNAcentral.
GACGAACGCUGGCGGCGUGCUUAACACAUGCAAGUCGAACGAAGAGCGAUGGAAGCUUGCUUCUAUCAAUCUUAGUGGCGAACGGGUGAGUAACGCGUAAUCAACCUGCCCUUCAGAGGGGGACAACAGUUGGAAACGACUGCUAAUACCGCAUACGAUCUAACCUCGGCAUCGAGGAUGGAUGAAAGGUGGCCUCUAUUUAUAAGCUAUCACUGAAGGAGGGGAUUGCGUCUGAUUAGCUAGUUGGAGGGGUAACGGCCCACCAAGGCGAUGAUCAGUAGCCGGUCUGAGAGGAUGAACGGCCACAUUGGGACUGAGACACGGCCCAGACUCCUACGGGAGGCAGCAGUGGGGAAUCUUCCGCAAUGGACGAAAGUCCGACGGAGCAACGCCGCGUGAGUGAUGACGGCCUUCGGGUUGUAAAGCUCUGUUAAUCGGGACGAAAGGCCUUCUUGCGAAUAGUUAGAAGGAUUGACGGUACCGGAAUAGAAAGCCACGGCUAACUACGUG